Molecule: regulatory RNA element, 110 nt
Organism: Caloramator australicus RC3
Lineage: Bacteria; Bacillati; Bacillota; Clostridia; Eubacteriales; Clostridiaceae
Rfam family: Ribosomal protein L20 leader
About the family: This family is a putative r-protein leader autoregulatory structure found in B. subtilis and other low-GC Gram-positive bacteria. It is located in the 5' untranslated regions of mRNAs encoding initiation factor 3 followed by ribosomal proteins L35 and L20 (infC-rpmI-rplT).
Source: Rfam
AGGUAUAAGUAGAAGCCAUCCGCUUCUCACCUUACGCCAAAGGUAGUAAGGUUUCUUCAGGUUAUAGUGGACUUAUGCGGAUGGACUACCAUCCGCUUUUUGUUUUGUAA